GAUGAACGCUGGCGGCGUGCCUAAUACAUGCAAGUCGAGCGAACGGACGAGAAGCUUGCUUCUCUGAUGUUAGCGGCGGACGGGUGAGUAACACGUGGAUAACCUACCUAUAAGACUGGGAUAACUUCGGGAAGCCGGAGCUAAUACCGGAUAAUAUUUUGAACCGCAUGGUUCAAAAGUGAAAGACGGUCUUGCUGUCACUUAUAGAUGGAUCCGCGCUGCAUUAGCUAGUUGGUAAGGUAACGGCUUACCAAGGCAACGAUGCAUAGCCGACCUGAGAGGGUGAUCGGCCACACUGGAACUGAGACACGGUCCAGACUCCUACGGGAGGCAGCAGUAGGGAAUCUUCCGCAAUGGGCGAAAGCCUGACGGAGCAACGCCGCGUGAGUGAUGAAGGUCUUCGGAUCGUAAAACUCUGUUAUUAGGGAAGAACAUAUGUGUAAGUAACUGUGCACGUCUUGACGGUACCUAAUCAGAAAGCCACGGCUAACUACGUG
RNAcentral lists this ribosomal RNA (497 nucleotides) under uncultured bacterium. RNAcentral describes it as "partial 16S ribosomal RNA". It matches the Rfam family "Bacterial small subunit ribosomal RNA", at positions 28 to 507 of the family's 1533-position model. The record is from RNAcentral.